This 460-nucleotide ribosomal RNA is filed under the name uncultured bacterium. RNAcentral's name for it is "partial 16S ribosomal RNA". It matches the Rfam family "Bacterial small subunit ribosomal RNA", at positions 338 to 795 of the family's 1533-position model. The record is from RNAcentral.
CCUACGGGUGGCAGCAGUGAGGAAUAUUGGUCAAUGGCCGGAAGGCUGAACCAGCCAUGCCGCGUGAAGGUCAGUGCCCUAUGGGCGUUAAACUUCUUUUGUGCGGGAGCAAUAAUGGUCACGUGUGGCCAGACGAGAGUACCGUACGAAUAAGCAUCGGCUCACUCCGUGCAAGCAGCCGCGGUAAUACGGGGGGUGCAAGCGUUAUCCGGAUUUAUUGGGUUUAAAGGGUGCGUAGGCUGUGAGGUAAGUCGGCGGUUCAAUGCCCCGGCUCAACGGGGUGAAGUGCCAUUGAUACUGCCUUGCUGGAAUGCGGAUGCCGUGGGAGGAAUGUGUGGUGUAGCGGUGAAAUGCAUAGAUAUCACACAGAACACCGAUUGCGAAGGCAUCUCACGAAUCCGCGAUUGACGCUGAUGCACGAAAGCGUGGGUAUCAAACAGGAUUAGAUACCCUAGUAGUC